UGCAGCAGGGGGCGCAGCGGUUAGGGCGUCCGCCUCGCAGCCGGAAGAUCUCGGGUUCAAACCCCACGUCGUGCUGUAG
This 79-nucleotide transfer RNA is filed under the name Scleropages formosus (Asian bonytongue). RNAcentral describes it as "tRNA-Ala". Lineage: Eukaryota; Metazoa; Chordata; Actinopteri; Osteoglossiformes; Osteoglossidae. The record is from RNAcentral.